AUGGCUUCUUGGCCUUUUGGCUGAGAUCAAGUGUAGUAUCUGUUCUUAUCAGUUUAACAAUUAUGUGACUGGAAUGACUUCCUCUCCUCUCUCUGUGCACCCCUU
This is a small nuclear RNA of Podarcis muralis (Common wall lizard), 105 nucleotides long. Its record names the gene U2. It matches the Rfam family "U2 spliceosomal RNA". Rfam says of the family: U2 is a small nuclear RNA (snRNA) component of the spliceosome (involved in pre-mRNA splicing). Complementary binding between U2 snRNA (in an area lying towards the 5' end but 3' to hairpin I) and the branchpoint sequence (BPS) of the intron results the bulging out of an unpaired adenosine, on the BPS, which initiates a nucleophilic attack at the intronic 5' splice site, thus starting the first of two transesterification reactions that mediate splicing. The record is from Ensembl. NCBI's taxonomy places the organism in Eukaryota, Metazoa, Chordata, Lepidosauria, Squamata, Lacertidae.